CAGCAACUGCAUAAUUCAGGCUGGAGGUGAUUGAGGGUACUGUACACGAGGACAUGUGUAUGGGAACAACAAUACACCAGGCCCCCCCUAUAUUUCUUUUCUUUUCAUGUACGAUUCCUUUUUCCACAAAACAAUUUCUUUGCCCUGACAUACUGCCAAUCCAAUUUGUACAUACAGGUAAUGUUGUUGGCGAUGGUCAAUUGAUUUGAGCAUAUUUGGAGACUAGUGGGCGCGGCUGUACUGCCGAGUCACCACCGGAGAGAGGAUCCCAGAGGAGAUGGGCAGAUGCUCCAGAGGAUUUUGUAAAAACACCAACUUCCUCUUCAUCUAGCUGAUCUUUUCUCGAAAACUUGAGUGACUGGACUUAUGCACUUGUCCCUUAGAGUCAAUGGUCACAUCCUCUUGCGUAUUCAGGCCAGCUCUUCUUUCACCCAAUAUGCCUAUUUCCAAAUAUUCACGUCCUUGGUUCUCUCCCAUCUGACCUGUGACUAAAACUAAAAUUAAUAUGUGCAACUAACAAUGGGGCAUCUCAUGAGAAUGGAGUUGAAACAAUCGAUGUACUGAUGGACAUGUUAUUUUUUUAUUGCGUAUUUGUAUAGUUUGGACCUCCAUCCUGAACAGAUCAACAAUACGAAUGGUGUACUAAUGCCAUUUAACCUUUUUUGUGUCAGGUCAGUUGAUUUUGUACCUNN
Molecule: long non-coding RNA, 692 nt
Filed under: Triticum aestivum (bread wheat)
Lineage: Eukaryota; Viridiplantae; Streptophyta; Magnoliopsida; Poales; Poaceae
Description: long non-coding RNA (TAES_LNC012468)
Source: RNAcentral